CCUACGGGUGGCAGCAGUGAGGAAUAUUGGUCAAUGGUCGCGAGCCUGAACCAGCCAAGUAGCGUGAAGGAUGACUGCCCUACGGGUUGUAAACUUCUUUUAUAAAGGAAUAAAGUGAGGCACGUGUGCCUUUUUGUAUGUACCUUAUGAAUAAGGAUCGGCUAACUCCGUGCCAGCAGCCGCGGUAAUACGGAGGAUUCGAGCGUUAUCCGGAUUUAUUGGGUUUAAAGGGAGCGUAGGCGGUACGUUAAGUCAGGCGUGAAAUGGCGGGGCUCAACCCCGGCACUGCGGUUGAAACUGGCAGACUUGAGUUGGCGAGACGUAUGCGGAAUGCGUGGUGUAGCGGUGAAAUGCAUAGAUAUCACGAAGAACUCCGAUUGCGAAGGCAGCGUACGGGAGCGAGACUGACGCUGAGGCUCGAAAGCGUGGGGAUCGAACAGGAUUAGAUACCCCUGUAGUC
This 460-nucleotide ribosomal RNA is filed under the name uncultured bacterium. RNAcentral's name for it is "partial 16S ribosomal RNA". It matches the Rfam family "Bacterial small subunit ribosomal RNA", at positions 338 to 795 of the family's 1533-position model. The record is from RNAcentral.